RNAcentral lists this ribosomal RNA (267 nucleotides) under uncultured bacterium. Its description in RNAcentral is "partial 16S ribosomal RNA". It matches the Rfam family "Bacterial small subunit ribosomal RNA", at positions 355 to 613 of the family's 1533-position model. The record is from RNAcentral.
UAGGGAAUAGUGGACAAUGGGGGGAACCCUGAUCCAGCCAUGCCGCGUGUGUGAAGAAGGCCUUUUGGUUGUAAAGCACUUUAAGCGAGGAGGAGGCUACUCUAGUUAAUACCUGGGGAUAGUGGACGUUACUCGCAGAAUAAGCACCGGCUAACUCUGUGCCAGCAGCCGCGGUAAUACAGAGGGUGCGAGCGUUAAUCGGAUUUACUGGGCGUAAAGCGUGCGUUGGCGGCUUUUUAAGUCGGAUGUGAAAUCCCUGAGCUUAAC